Molecule: transfer RNA, 75 nt
Filed under: Mus musculus (house mouse)
Lineage: Eukaryota; Metazoa; Chordata; Mammalia; Rodentia; Muridae
Description: tRNA-Ser
Source: RNAcentral
GGCUGGAGAGAUGGCUCAGCAGUUAAGAGCGCUGACUGCUCUUCCAGAGGUCCUGAGUUCAAUUCCCAGAAGCCA